RNAcentral lists this long non-coding RNA (285 nucleotides) under Bos taurus (domestic cattle). RNAcentral's name for it is "long non-coding RNA NONBTAT007297". The record is from RNAcentral. Lineage: Eukaryota; Metazoa; Chordata; Mammalia; Artiodactyla; Bovidae.
CAGUACUCAGUUAAAAGUGGCAUAUUUUUGUAAUGUAUUUUCAAAGUGAGAUCAUACAGUAACAAUUUUUUAAACUGCAUUUAAAUAUUUACAUUUAUCUCAGUUCCCUAAAGGAUGUGUCCUUUUGGACUGCUCUGUUUGGUUCCUGCGAAUUCUAGUCAACCGCCAGUCUCCUCAGAGUCUUAGCCUCUGAUCCUUAGUGAUGCUGGGUUCAUGUCUGUCUCAUUGCCUAUGUUUUUGUGAAAUACAGAUGAAAACAAAAGUAUCAACAAAGGACCACCAGGA